RNAcentral lists this ribosomal RNA (466 nucleotides) under uncultured bacterium. Its description in RNAcentral is "partial 16S ribosomal RNA". It matches the Rfam family "Bacterial small subunit ribosomal RNA", at positions 28 to 507 of the family's 1533-position model. The record is from RNAcentral.
GAUGAACGCUGGCGGCGUGCUUAACACAUGCAAGUCGAACGAUGAAGCCCAGCUUGCUGGGUGGAUUAGUGGCGAACGGGUGAGUAACACGUGAGUAACCUGCCCUUAACUCUGGGAUAAGCCUGGGAAACUGGGUCUAAUACUGGAUAGGAGCGCCUACCGCAUGGUGGGUGUUGGAAAGAUUUAUCGGUUUUGGAUGGACUCGCGGCCUAUCAGCUUGUCGGUGAGGUAAUGGCUCACCAAGGCGACGACGGGUAGCCGGCCUGAGAGGGUGACCGGCCACACUGGGACUGAGACACGGCCCAGACUCCUACGGGAGGCAGCAGUGGGGAAUAUUGCACAAUGGGCGAAAGCCUGAUGCAGCGACGCCGCGUGAGGGAUGACGGCCUUCGGGUUGUAAACCUCUUUCAGUAGGGAAGAAGCGAAAGUGACGGUACCUGCAGAAGAAGCACCGGCUAACUACGUG